GGAACUUUCACACGUGAAUUCUUUUUUUUUUUGUCAUUUUGUUGAUCUUAUUAAACAUUGGCCAAAAGCCGAACAGUAUAUGGUAAAGACAAAGCCCAUAAACGAGGCCCAAUAACGGUCCAUAAAACAUGCAACCUAAAAAAGUCCAAACAAAAUCAGUAACAACUCGAGCUCCACGCGUUGCUUUUAGCGUGACAGGGACACAUGCCCAUCAUGCGAGUUACCACCGCACUUCAGGCGGUGACAAGGACAUCUCCGGCGAAAUUCUAAUCGGCUGGCCCACCGAAAACAAACCGGAAACAUGAUCCGUUCAAAGUGCCUCGCCGUCGACGACAUCAAGAGGUGAAGACGUCAUUAUAACAACAACACCUUAGUUUACAGCGUGAGAUCUCCACACAUCCAAAAUCAAAUCAGGACGACUUGAUUCUCCAGCGAAAUUCAACAGACCCACAAAAAAACUAAAGCCAAAGGAUCUCGCUUCUUAAUUUGAAGUUUCAAUCAAAGAACAACGUUGUUGAUCCAAUCGAACAACGAACCGAUGGAAACAGAAAAAGUUUUAAGAAGCUAAGAUCAAACAGAAACCGGGAUAGACCCGGAAAAGCCACCGUCACCACCGUGAAGAAAAGUGAGACGUGGAGCCAAGAGCCGACGGUAACAUCGGAGGGUCUGAUGUACCGUCAAAGUCGGCCGACCACCAAGAUAAAAGUGCGACGCUGGAAGAAAGACCCAACCACGGGUAGUCUGUCUCCAGAAAACGACCGGCCUGAGGUUUCUAAUCAUCAUCUUCCCCUCUGUAAAAGAUACAUGAGAGGGAACAGAGGAAAAGGAGAGAAAAACCUUUAUUCAUAAACUAGAAAUCGAAUAAAGUAAAAUAGAGAAUAUGACUCCAGAAUACUAAAUAAAUUGGUGAAUACGGUAUGAUUUUCAAAACAUCUAGCAAUACGCACAAAUCACAAAACUCACUCUACAAGCUUUUUGUUUCUUCCGAUUCAUAUUUUUUUAAAGGAGUGUGUUACCUUAUGAGACAUUUUCUUGUUUUUUUUUUACCUUUUAAGACAUUUUCUGCUGGAGAAACACUUUUUUUAUGAAAGGCUGAAGUGAGACGGAAAUGCAGC
This 1115-nucleotide long non-coding RNA is filed under the name Brassica napus (rape). Its description in RNAcentral is "long non-coding RNA (BNAP_LNC000907)". The record is from RNAcentral. Lineage: Eukaryota; Viridiplantae; Streptophyta; Magnoliopsida; Brassicales; Brassicaceae.